This 6654-nucleotide long non-coding RNA is filed under the name Homo sapiens (human). Its description in RNAcentral is "HSALNT0297730". The record is from RNAcentral. Lineage: Eukaryota; Metazoa; Chordata; Mammalia; Primates; Hominidae.
AUUAAAGCAGAUAUAACAAUUAAAAUUUCAUGUCUUAAAUAUAAAAGCCUUCUUUACAAAUCAUUUAAAAAUAAAAUUGUCAAACACAUGAGGAAACAACACAAACAAGUAAAUCAAAACAGAAGAAAUAUAAAUGUGCAUGCAGAGUGGUUUAUUGAGGCGUUCUUACAGGAACAUUGUCUGUAAAGGAAGAAUGAGAAGGAAGACAGAAAAGCAAAACUUUGAAGCAGUUGCAUCAGAGACUUCAGAGCAUCCUUAAAGUUGGACUGGCCCUUCAAAGGUGUCCAGGAUUAAGUAAAGCUGGGCUUUUGUACCACUGCACCAACCAAUCAAUAAAUGUGGGUGUCCCAGAGAAAGACUGCCACCUUGAGUGAGGCAGCUCCCCCAAAAUAUCUGUGUUUGCUAAAAUGCAGAUUCCCAAUCCCCUAAUCAAAUAUAUCUGAUGAGGCUUCAAUGCCUGAAUUAUUUUUAAAAUGCCUGAAGUUAUUCUCAUGUUCAGCAAAUGCAGGAAUCACUAGUCUAACAGAGACGAAAUCCAUUCAUUUUUCUAUGUAUUCCAGGGUCUAUCUUUGAUUCAAAACAAAGCUUUAGUAGCUGUACCUGGAUAUCAGUAGCUUGCUUAACUUCUUGUAAAAGCAUCAGUCUUAAUUUAUGUUUUAAUAGAUCAACUCAGUUCUUAUUAAAGGCUGGUAUAUUUGGCUAUUUGAAAAACAACUUUGCUAUUGUCCAUGUUAUUGGCAUUGUCCUAAUUAUGUUAUUCACUGUUUCUUAUUAAAUGGCCCAUGGGAUAAAUUUUAAUUUUCUAUUUUAAGUUUUUCUAUUUUAAUUAGUGAAAAUAAGCUCCUCUUUCAGAACUGUUUCUUUUUAUCAACUAGUAGGAAAUAUAUAAUCAUUUUUCCUUGACUGAAAAUAAACUCAACAAAAUUGCUUAUAAGUCUAAAUUUUAGUGAAUUUGCUGCUACUCUUCCUGUACUUCCUCUUCCAUAAGUCUCGCUGUAAGCAAUCCUUGAGUAUUUUGACUUUGCAUUUUUAUUUUAGCAUCAUUAAGUUAUACGUGCCGUGCCAGUUAUCAGUGCAUUUCCUCUCACAUCCAAACUAACCGUUUAUUACAGCUCUGUGAUAAUGGAUGAAAUUCCCUUAAGUAUUAAUCCUUUACAGUGAGAAUGAUGUUUAAUAUUCUCAUUAGAGGAUGCUUGAGGGACAUUGCAGGAAGCAAGGAUUCUCCUGCUGUUUCCUGCUGCUACAUGAUGGGUUAGUAAGAUAUAUGGGGGUGGUCUGCCCCAGGCCCUCUUCCCAGAAUGCACUAUCCCCUGGCAAUCUUGCAGUCGUGGACCAGGCUGGCUAUCACCUCCCCGUGGUUCUUCUGACGGAUACUUCUCCAAGACUCUUGCCACAACAGCACCCCUACUCCCUCUUCAUGCCCUCACACCUGGCCACCUACUUGCCUAUGUGCUUUCUCUGCCUUGAAGACUUGCUACUGGGGUCACUUUUCUGCACACCUGCCCAUCUGGCCACUAUCUGUGGUUCCCCUCACAGAUAGCUCAUGUUCCAGUGACCCCCAACCCUAUCUGCAGGCUUAUGCAUGUAGCCACCAGCUGGAGCUCACCUAUAUUCUGCCUCUAUUCUGGAUAUUUGGUUUCUACUUGCCCAAUGACCACAGACCAGCUCUUGUCCAGGCAACUAGUGAACUUCUCUGGCAUCCAGUGGAUUGCUACUAUACCUUUUUUAAUGAAGUCUAAACCCCAGCCUUGGGAAGGGGCACCUCAUUGCAGUUUGUCUCCCUUGAGUACCUUGCCUCAGCCCUAGAAUACCAUACAGAGUUUUCUUAAAUUUUAUAAUUACUUUUUUAUCAGAGUUUAGUAAUUCUGUAUAUUAAAUUUCCUCUAUUUAAAUCAUUGUAUGGUUUCUGUCUCCUGAUUGGACCCAGGCUGAGACUCAGACAUUUUGGGAUAAUCUAAAACUUGUAGUAAGCUUCUACUUGGUAUUGAGAUAGAUGGCAUAUAAAGUUUCUGAGGGAAAAUAAUUUUAUGGAAAUAAUUUUUAAUUACAUAAUCUAUUCAAUGUAUUUACAUUUUGAAUAAAGAGUAUUAUUUUUUAAAUAAAGGAGAAUUCACUAUAUCCCUAAAUAUGCAAAUAGACUUGGUAUCAGAAGGUCACUUAUUGGUUAAAAUUGGCAGAAACAGCACUAGGAAGGGUAAUUCCUAAAUUCAGAGAAAUAUUAGAAAAUAGCAUCCCCCUUUUAUAGUGCCCAUAAAUAUAAAAUGGUAAUGGAAUCAAAAUAGUCUCUCUUUAGUUAUAACUUUUUUAGGGCAGAGCCGAGCCUCUAGCUUUCCAAUUGCUUUCUCCCCACAAUUAUUAAACCUGACAUAGAAAGAAUUCACUUCGUUUUAAUUUAUUUUCUUGUGGUCAAAGAAGAAUAUUUGGCAGCAGGGGUUUCGUAGUUGACUUUUCUCAGGCUCAACUAAACUUUAGCACCAGAUUCACAUUCCAAAUAACCUAUACAUUUUUUACUCCUGGUGUAAUUAUUCAGCACCACUGUGGGUGAACUUCUGAAGGAAAUAUAUGAACUAGUUAGUCAUAGUGUAAAGAAAAACAUUUAACUUAAAGCAAGGAGACAAACGCAACUGCUGUGUCUUUUAGGGAUAGGAGCAAUCAUUUCAGGAAAGAAAGUUCUCUCGAUGUUGAUAGUGCAAAAGUAAUGUGGUGAUGGAAAUAGACUGAGGAAUAGAGGGGGAAACAGAAUUUUAAAAAGUACAGAAGCAGUAAUUGCCUCAUCUUGCACAGGAGAAAUUUAAGUUGUAAACUCAAGUUGUAAACAGGCAAAAAAAACCACAGAAGUUCCUUCUCUGGAGCAACUGGACAGCAACAAAGAAGACACCUAUAAACAUCAGUAUUUGGAUAUUCAUUGUCCUAUACUUGUCAUGAGAUAGGACAACCAAAAACUCAAUGGCUCAGAGCAGGUAGAACUUUAUUUUUCUUUCAAAAACAGUUCGGAGGCAAAAACCCAGUCAGGAUGGAAGGCAGUACUGCUCAACAUGGUCAACUAGGGACUAGGGCCUUUUCUCCUUGUUGCUUUAAUAUCCCCUAGGAUGCUGUCCUUCUCAAAAAGGCAGAAGCUGGCUCUCAGGCACCCUAUCAGCAUUUCAGCCCUCAAGAGUAUGGAAGAGGAAGAGGAGAGCAAGAAGCUUCCUUUUUAAGAAGGCUUUUUCCACAACCAUCGAAGGCUACUCUGAUUUGCAAUUAGCAGGAUAAACUGAAGAUAACACCUUGCAGAAGCAGAUCUCAAUUAACAACUGAUGGAAAAAAGAGGAAACUGAAGAGGCCAAAAGAAAGGGAACACACAAUGAGGAAGAAGGAGAAAGUUGGACCCAUUCCAAGAAUCAUGCAAGCCAUUCUGCUGGAUGUGAAGUGGUAUCUGAUUGUUACUAGAAGGCUAUCCUUACAAGAAAUGCUAAAGGAAAUUGUUCAGACUGAAAGCAAUUGACACCAGACGGUAAUUUGAAUCCACACAGUAAAACAAUGAGCAUCAGCAGAGGUCAUUAUGUCAGUAAUUUGAACCACAGUAUAAUAUAUAUUACUACUCCUUCCUUCUCUUAGCUGAUUUAAACAGCAAUUGCAUAAAACAAUAUGUAUAUAAUUGCAUUAUUAAGCCUAUAACAUACAGAAAUGCAAUAUAUUUGACAAUAACAUCACAAGAAAGGUAGGAGGGAACAAAGCUGUAUUAUAGUACAGAAAUGACACCAGAUGGUAACUUGAAUCUACAGGAAGAAAUAAAGAGCGCCAGAAAUGAAGAAUAAGAAGAUUAACAUAAUAAACUCUCUAAAUAUAUACUUGCCCUCCUUUCUUCUCUCAGCUACUAUAAAAGACAUGAAACAUGAAAUUAUAUAAAACAAUAAUUAUAAAAAUUUAUUGUGCAGUUUGUAAUAUAUGUAAGUGCAAAAUAUGUUGUUGGAUUCUUGGUUGAGGUUUUUAUCUUUCUGCACUUUGAAUGUGUCAUCUAGCUGCUUUCUAGCCUCCAUUCUUUCUGAUAAGGAAUCAGAUGUUAAUCUUACUGGGGUUACAUUGUACAUGAUGCGUUGCUCUUCUCUUGCUGCUUUCAAGAUUUUCUCUUCAUUCUUGGUUUUCAACAUUUUGAUUAUAAUGUCUCAAGGUCUAGACCUUUUUGCAAUAUCCUACUUGAGUUCAACAAGCUUCUUGGAUAUGUAGAUUAAUGUGUUGUUUUGUUCUUUUGUUUGGGUUUUUUUUUUUUUUGGUCAAAUUUGUGAUAUUUUCAGCCAUUUUUCCUUUGUAUAGGUUUUUAUCUCCUUUCUCUUUCUCUCAUCUUUCUGGGACUCUCAUUAUACAUAUGUUGGUACACUUAAUGGUGUCCCACAUUUCUCUGAUGCCAUUUAUUUUUCCUCAUUCUUUUCAUCUCUGUGCUUCAAAUUGCAUAAUCUCAAUUUAUCUUCAAAUUCACUGAUUCUUUUUCCAACUCAAAUCUACUGUUGAGUUCCUCUUUUGAAUUUUUCAUUUUACUUACUGUGUUUUUCAACUCUAGAAUUUCCAUUUCUUUUUAAAAUAAUUUCUAUCUUUAUCAAUAUUUUCUAUUUGAUAAAACUGUCAUAAUACAUUUACUUAAUUCUUUAAAUAUUGUUUCCUUUAGUUCUUGGGACAUAUUUAUAAUAGCUGCUUUGUGAUUCUUUGAACUUUCCUGCUAAGUCCAUUCUCUGGGCUCCCUCAAAAACAGUUUCUAUUGUUGGCUUUUUCCCUUUACAUGGGUCACUCUUUCCUGUUUCUUUGCACAUCUGACAAUUUUUUUUUUGAAAACAGAACAUGUUAGAUAAUACAUUGCAGCAACUUUGGAUAUUGAUUCUCCCUUACCACCUUUGGGAUCUGUUGUUGUUUCCUCAUUUUCUUGUUUGUUUAGUGACAUAAUUGGACUAGUUCAGUUAAGUCUGUUUCCUUCAAAGUGUGCAACAUCUAACAGCAUGCCUCAGACAGCACAGACUUGGGCAUGUACACAGUCUUUUUAACUGCCAGAGAUAACUGUGGUUUUCUCUUUGACUGUCUCUUUCUCAUUGAGACUUUGGGUGGUCUACCUCUGUUGGUAUUACAUACAACCAUUGGCCUCCAGCAAUCUUUAUCUGAUUGUUCUACUUUUUUCAGCAACUCCCUGGGGCAUAAUAUGCUUCACAGUCUAAUCCAAUUAAAGUUCCUUGAAAGGGGCAGAGUGUUUACAGUCUUUGAAGCUUGCUCCAAAUCUGCCCUGGAAGAAUGUCUGUCCUAUAGAUCAGGAGCUGGGGGAAAUUAGAAAACUCAUUCUUUCCCAGGCACUGCACUAGAGUUCUUCUUAUGGUGUAGGAGCUGUGAGAAGAGAAAAGGGGGAAGUAGGAACUGGCACUGCCACCCAGCUGCGCCCACCACCAAGUACACAUAUUCCACAGCGCAGAGCUGGGGAGAAUAAUAACUGCCAAUAUUCAUAGCUGUCAACCUACCCAUAAUAGUUCUUCCAUUCUAGGAAGCUGGGGAAGAUGGGAGAUGCCACUUGGCUGCUGAGCCAACUGGAAUAGUUCUCGUGCAACAUAGAGCCAUGAAAAAGGGGGGACUGACUUCUUACCAGCUGCCCCACUUAGAUCCUCCCCAUAUAAUCGGAGUUGGGGGUGAAGGAACAGACACUGAUGCAUGUUUGCUGGCACCGAUUCAAUAUUCGACUUCCACAGCAUGGAUCUUUGAAAAAUACUGUCAUGUAAUUUUCACUGGCUGCCAAAUCCACCCCAAAUAACUUUUUUACCCCAGGGAGCUGGAGAAGAUGGGAAUUGCCACUUGUGGGAUGAGCCCACAGAAAACAUCCUCCCGCAAGGUAGAGCUGUUGCAGCCCCUAGUUCUAAUGCAAUGUCCUCCCACUGUUCCUAUCAAGUCUCCAUAUUUUUGCUGAAUAAAUGCUUCUCGGUUUGUUGUAAUCCCUUUGAUCACUCUCCAGAGACUUUGAAUGGUUUUCUUUGCUAAUUUUGACCAGCUUGGUGGAUACCUCUUCAGGAGAGAGGUUUCCCCAAACUCCUCCACCACUGCUCCAGAAAUCCCCAGAAGUUCUUGACAUUUCGUGAGGGCAAAACUUAGAGCACAAGGCAUCAGUGGCUUCCUUCUCUUACCAGUUGUAUAACCUUGAGCAAGUCUUUUAACCUCUGUGAACAGUUUCUCAUCUGUAACAUAAGGAUAAUCAUAGUGCCCACAAUUGUUGGGAGGAUUUGUUGAGUUAAUCCUUGUUAUGCACCUAGUCUAGUGCCAAGUUAUCAUUAUUACUAUUGUCAUUAUUUUUAAUAAUCCACGAGUUUAUAACUUCAGAGUGUUGGAAUCAUAACCAGUUCACACAAUACUUUUGUACAAGUUAUAAAAGGCAUUUUUCCUCAGGACAAUUUAUUAUUUGUCUUUCAAAGUAAUUAUAAUAAUAUAAUGAUUUUGUUAGAAUAAGACAAUUUUCUAUCAAAUUCCAUAAAAUUAUUGAAAUAAAUAUACAAAUCCAUAGUAUCUACAAUGUUAACACCUCCCUUUAAGGUUGGAAUGUGCACAGUCUUGUGGUAUGUGGCAGUUUUGUGUGACAAUAUAUGACCUUGCAGAGUGCACUAAAAUCAUUCUUCUUUCCAACAAGAAAAAAAUAAAGGAAAUUAUUGAUCUAGA